CCUGCACAUAGGUCAAUCAUUGUGGUUACUAGUUCUGUGUCCCCUGAGCAGUCUGGCUGGCUGGCACUGUCCUUGCUCUCUAGGAAUUGCUGUCUGAAAUGUAUAUAUAGCAUGAUGCAUCUCGGCAAUCUGCAAAAUAGGAUUUGGUGACAAAAACCUCAACUAUGUGGUGGAACAAGAAUUCAAACACAGGCCUCCCUGCUUCUGGUGCCCAUAAACUUUUAUCUUCAAGGGAUCACCAAAAUAUAAACUCCAGUACCAACCAAACUUGAGUCUAUCCAUGGAAUCGUAGAAAAAGAAUAAUCACAUAAUUGCUGCCAGAUUCCAUCAAAGAGCUCUUUAUUCAGGGAAGAUGCUGCCUUGCCCAGCUUAUGUGAGUUUCCCUGUGACUUCUCAGAAAUAUCAUUUGUGUAGAAUGAAGUCUGUGUCUGCCCAUUAGAAUAAGAUUCCAUUAAAUAACUAAAUCAUAUUCCACGUUCAUCCAGCUACUUCCUGAUGAUUUGGCUUUCCUGAUAGUUUUCUAAGAAAAGAGAAUCUGUUGGUCAGUUUAGUGGAGUGUCAUUGGUUGACACUUGCUGUAUAUUAAUUAGGUGGUUUAUUUAUCA
Molecule: long non-coding RNA, 605 nt
Filed under: Canis lupus familiaris (dog)
Lineage: Eukaryota; Metazoa; Chordata; Mammalia; Carnivora; Canidae
Description: lncRNA (ENSCAFG00000053622.1)
Source: RNAcentral